This 312-nucleotide ribosomal RNA is filed under the name uncultured Glomeraceae. RNAcentral's name for it is "partial large subunit ribosomal RNA". It matches the Rfam family "Eukaryotic large subunit ribosomal RNA", at positions 40 to 350 of the family's 3401-position model. The record is from RNAcentral. Lineage: Eukaryota; Fungi; Glomeromycota; Glomeromycetes; Glomerales; Glomeraceae.
AUAUCAAUAAGCGGAGGAAAAGAAAAUAACAAUGAUUCCUCUAGUAACUGCGAGUGAAGAGGGAAAAGCUCAAAUUUUAAAUCUGUUAGGUUUACCUAACCGAGUUGUAAUUUGAAGAAGCGUUUUCUGCGAAUUUGGUUAGUCCAAAUCCUUUGGAAUAAGGUAUCAUGGAGGGUGAGAAUCCCGUUCGGUUAACCAAAGCGCUUUACGAUACGCUUUCAAAGAGUCAAGUUGUUUGGGAUUGCAGCUUAAAAUGGGAGGUAAAUUUCUCCUAAGGCUAAAUAUUGGCGAGAGACCGAUAGCGCACAAGUA